UGUAAGCGUAUACCAAAGUUGUUGCAGUUAAAACGCUCGUAGUCGGAAUUUGGCAGUUCCGGAUGUGUGCACGUCGUGUGCGCACUUCGCGGGGAUUGUUUUUGUGGUCUUGCGUAGGAUGAGGCACUUUUAUUAGUGAACGUCCUCACGCAACCACUUUUUACUGUGAGAAAAUCAGAGUGCUCAAAGCAGGCAUUUGCCGUGAAUGUAUUAGCAUGGAAUAAUAGAAUAGGACUUGGUUCUAUUUUGUUGGUUUGUUGGGACUGAGUAAUGAUUAAGAGGGACAGUUGGGGGCAUUUGUAUUUCGGUGCUAGAGGUGAAAUUCUUAGAUUACCGAAAGACAAACUGCUGCGAAAGCGUCUGCCAAGGAUGUUUUCAUUGA
This 382-nucleotide ribosomal RNA is filed under the name uncultured eukaryote. RNAcentral's name for it is "partial 18S ribosomal RNA". It matches the Rfam family "Eukaryotic small subunit ribosomal RNA", at positions 592 to 976 of the family's 1831-position model. The record is from RNAcentral.